UACGGAGGGUGCAAGCGUUAAUCGGAAUUACUGGGCGUAAAGCGCACGCAGGCGGUCUGUCAAGUCGGAUGUGAAAUCCCCGGGCUCAACCUGGGAACUGCAUUCGAAACUGGCAGGCUAGAGUCUUGUAGAGGGGGGUAGAAUUCCAGGUGUAGCGGUGAAAUGCGUAGAGAUCUGGAGGAAGACCGGUGGCGAAGGCGGCCCCCUGGACAAAGACUGACGCUCAGGUGCGAAAGCGUGGGGAGCAAACAGGAUUAGAUACCCUGGUAGUCCACGCCGUAAACGAUGUCGAUUUGGAGGUUGUGCCCUUGAGGCGUGGCUUCCGGAGCUAACGCGUUAACUCGCCCGCCUGGGGAGUACGGCCGCAAGGUUAAA
This 375-nucleotide ribosomal RNA is filed under the name uncultured bacterium. Its description in RNAcentral is "bacterial SSU rRNA". It matches the Rfam family "Bacterial small subunit ribosomal RNA", at positions 524 to 898 of the family's 1533-position model. The record is from RNAcentral.